This 497-nucleotide ribosomal RNA is filed under the name uncultured bacterium. RNAcentral describes it as "partial 16S ribosomal RNA". It matches the Rfam family "Bacterial small subunit ribosomal RNA", at positions 28 to 507 of the family's 1533-position model. The record is from RNAcentral.
GAUGAACGCUGGCGGCGUGCCUAAUACAUGCAAGUCGAGCGAACAGAUGAGGAGCUUGCUCCUCUGACGUUAGCGGCGGACGGGUGAGUAACACGUGGAUAACCUACCUAUAAGACUGGGAUAACUUCGGGAAACCGGAGCUAAUACCGGAUAAUAUAUUGAACCGCAUGGUUCAAUAGUGAAAGACGGUUUUGCUGUCACUUAUAGAUGGCUCCGCGCCGCAUUAGCUAGUUGGUAAGGUAACGGCUUACCAAGGCGACGAUGCGUAGACGACCUGAGAGGGUGAUCGGCCACACUGGAACUGAGACACGGUCCAGACUCCGACGGGAGGCAGCAGUAGGGAAUCUUCCGCAAUGGGCGAGAGCCGGACGGAGCAACGCCGCGUGAGUGAUGAAGGUCUUCGGAUCGUAAAACUCUGUUAUUAUGGAAGAACAAAUGUGUAAGUAACUAUGCACGUCUUGACGGUACCGAAUCAGAAAGCCACGGCUAACUACGUG